This 120-nucleotide small nucleolar RNA is filed under the name Echinops telfairi (small Madagascar hedgehog). RNAcentral's name for it is "Small nucleolar RNA SNORA61 (ENSETEG00000024456.1)". The record is from RNAcentral. Lineage: Eukaryota; Metazoa; Chordata; Mammalia; Afrosoricida; Tenrecidae.
UUUCUCCAGAUUCCUUGCCCAUCAGACCUAACCACUGGUCUGAGAGGAUCUCAAAGGAGGAAAAGCAAUAGUGAAACCACCUGAAUUCUGUGGUGAGACACAAGCUAGUUUUUCACAUGC